AGAGCUUUGUGUUGUUUGUUUAACUUGUGGACAAAGACUUAAAGAUAGGCAUAAAAAGUUCACUCCGUUUUGCAUCUUAGAAGUCAUUACUCAGUAUGAGUUUUGAUAGAUAAAGGAGGAAUAUU
Molecule: small nucleolar RNA, 125 nt
Filed under: Chinchilla lanigera (long-tailed chinchilla)
Lineage: Eukaryota; Metazoa; Chordata; Mammalia; Rodentia; Chinchillidae
Description: Small nucleolar RNA SNORA40 (ENSCLAG00000018683.1)
Rfam family: Small nucleolar RNA SNORA40
About the family: The snoRNA ACA 40 belongs to the H/ACA family of snoRNAs and guides the pseudouridylation of 28S rRNA subunit at position U4565.
Source: Rfam by way of RNAcentral